CGGGACGUAAAGAACUUGCCUCACAGCUAGGGACAACAUUUAGAAAUGAAUGCUAAUACCUGAUAUUAUGAUUUUAAGGCAUCUUAGAAUUAUGAAAGCUAUAAGCACUGUGAGAGAGCUUUGCGUCCCAUUAGCUAGUUGGAGAGGUAACAGCUCACCAAGGCGAUGAUGGGUAGCCGGCCUGAGAGGGUGAACGGCCACAAGGGGACUGAGACACGGCCCUU
RNAcentral lists this ribosomal RNA (224 nucleotides) under uncultured bacterium. Its description in RNAcentral is "partial 16S ribosomal RNA". It matches the Rfam family "Bacterial small subunit ribosomal RNA", at positions 111 to 334 of the family's 1533-position model. The record is from RNAcentral.